GGAGAGUUUGAUCCUGGCUCAGGAUGAACGCUGGCGGCGUGCCUAAUACAUGCAAGUCGAACGGAGAUUGUAGCAAUACGGUCUUAGUGGCGAACGGGUGAGUAACGCGUUGGUGACCUGCCCCGAAGUGUGGGAUAACAGCCCGAAAGGGUUGCUAAUACCGCAUGUGGUUUUUCGGAUUAGAUGCCGAAUUUCUAAAGGAGAAAUUCGCUUCGGGAGGGGCCUGCGUCCCAUCAGCUAGUUGGUAGGGUAAAAGCCUACCAAGGCGAUGACGGGUAGGGGACCUGAGAGGGUGACCCCCCACAAUGGAACUGAAACACGGUCCAUACACCUACGGGUGGCAGCAGUAGGGAAUAUUGGUUAAUGGGCGAAAGCCUGAACCAGCAACGCCGCGUGUGCGAUGACGGCCUUCGGGUUGUAAAGCACUUUUUGAGGGGAUGAGGAAGGACAGUACCCUCAGAAUAAGUCUCGGCUAACUACGUGCCAGCAGCCGCGGUAACACGUAGGAGACUAGCGUUAUUCGGAUUUACUGGGCGUAAAGCGCGUGCAGGCGGUUCGGUAAGUUGGAUGUGAAAGCUCCUG
This 582-nucleotide ribosomal RNA is filed under the name Anaerolineaceae bacterium. RNAcentral describes it as "bacterial SSU rRNA". It matches the Rfam family "Bacterial small subunit ribosomal RNA", at positions 6 to 606 of the family's 1533-position model. The record is from RNAcentral. Lineage: Bacteria; Bacillati; Chloroflexota; Anaerolineae; Anaerolineales; Anaerolineaceae.